CUCCCAACGACGAGCGUGAUUGACGGAGUGGCGUUUGAUUUAUAAACAAAAAUGUAGCAACACGUCUAUCUUCAUCUUCUUUUGUUUUUACAUUUACAUCUAAAUCAACACAAAAAUAAACUGUCGUCUGUUGUGUCACCUAUUAUCCCUUGUCAGUAUAUGCCAAAAUUAUUUGGUGUCGACUUCCGUUUACCUCUACAAUCCGAACACCUGUGAAAACCGAACAAAACGCAAAGUCCCGUGGCUGUUCGGUUUGGACAGGUUUCACUGUACUUUGAUUGGUUUCAUACAGAAAUUUUAGCUGUUGGUAUUCUAUCCUUUGCCUAGGGUGAUGUUUAAUCGUGGUUUGUAUUUAGGUGAUGAUAAAACAACCCAACAACAACAAAAACUACAGAUGUACACUUCAACAUUUUUGUCAAGAUUAUUAUGUUCCAAAUAUUAUUUGAGUUUUCUAGUUGUAAAAAUAACUUAAAUGCCAUCUGCUUCAGACACUUAUUUUGGAGGAGGGGCCUGAAAAUUAACUGGUAGAGGUUUCUUUUCUUAUCAAUCCAUGUAAAUGUUGUACAAACUAAAUAUUAAGUUAUGUCUAAAACACUUAUGCCUUCUGAAGGAGGUUAUCUGGUAGAUUUGUAAUACUUAUUAUUUUUUUUAAUUCAAGGGUCC
This 663-nucleotide long non-coding RNA is filed under the name Mytilus galloprovincialis (Mediterranean mussel). The record is from RNAcentral. Lineage: Eukaryota; Metazoa; Mollusca; Bivalvia; Mytilida; Mytilidae.